This 207-nucleotide ribosomal RNA is filed under the name uncultured bacterium. RNAcentral describes it as "partial 16S ribosomal RNA". It matches the Rfam family "Bacterial small subunit ribosomal RNA", at positions 568 to 774 of the family's 1533-position model. The record is from RNAcentral.
AGCGCAGGCGGACCGGCAAGUUGGAAGUGAAAACUAUGGGCUCAACCCAUAAAUUGCUUUCAAAACUGCUGGCCUUGAGUAGUGCAGAGGUAGGUGGAAUUCCCGGUGUAGCGGUGGAAUGCGUAGAUAUCGGGAGGAACACCAGUGGCGAAGGCGACUUUCUGGACUGUAACUGACACUGAGGCUCGAAAGCCAGGGUAGUGAACG